GAAGCGUUUUCGGUGGCAGCCUGGGUACAAUCCUUUGGAGUAGGGUAUCAUAGAGGGUGAGAGUCCCGUCUUUGACUCAGUGCAUGCUACUAUGUGAUACGUUUUCAAAGAGUCGAGUUGUUUGGGAACGCAGCUCAAAAUGGGUGGUAAAUUUCAUCUAAGGCUAAAUAUUGGCGAGAGACCGAUAGCGAACAAGUACCGUGAGGGAAAGAUGAAAAGAACUUUGAAAAGAGAGUUAAACAGUGCGUGAAAUUGUUGAAAGGGAAACGUUUGACACCAGUUAUGCGGGUGGAAAAUCAGUCUUUUGCAAUGGGGAGUUGUGGGCGUUCAGACCGCAAGGCUGGCGUUUGCUUCAUCUUUGUUGUAAGUGAUGCACUUUUUCAUUUGCAGGUCAACAUCAGUUUGCUUUGCUGGACAAAACCCCAAGGGAAGGUGGCAGCUUAGGCUGUGUUAUAGCCCUGGGGCGAUACAGUGGAGUGGACUGAGGUUUCGCAGUGUGUGCUCUCGGGCAAGGCUGACUGGGUGCUAUGGGAUCGUUCGGCGUACAAUGCAUGCAUUUUGCGUCGUGUCUUUUUCAUACUCGCUCAACUCGGCUCUUCCACGCUUAGGAUGUUGACUUAAUGGUUUUAAACGACCCGUCUUGAAACACGGACCAAGGAGUCUAACAUAUAUGCAAGUGUUUGGGUGGCAAACCCAUGCGCGUAAUGAAAGUGAACGUAGGUGCGAUCCGCAAGGUGCAGCAUCGACCGAUCUUGAUAUUUUUGGAUAGAUUUGAGUAAGAGCAUAUAUGCUGGGACCCGAAAGAUGGUGAACUAUGCCUGAAUAGGGUGAAGCCAGAGGAAACUCUGGUGGAGGCUCGUAGCGAUUCUGACGUGCAAAUCGAUCGUCAAAUUUGGGUAUAGGGCGA
Molecule: ribosomal RNA, 907 nt
Filed under: Linnemannia gamsii
Lineage: Eukaryota; Fungi; Mortierellomycota; Mortierellomycetes; Mortierellales; Mortierellaceae
Description: LSU rRNA
Rfam family: Eukaryotic large subunit ribosomal RNA
Source: RNAcentral